GAUGAACGCUGGCGGCGUGCCUAAUACAUGCAAGUCGAGCGAACAGACGAGGAGCUUGCUCCUCUGACGUUAGCGGCGGACGGGUGAGUAACACGUGGAUAACCUACCUAUAAGACUGGGAUAAUUUCGGGAAACCGGAGCUAAUACCGGAUAAUAUAUUGAACCGCAUGGUUCAAUAGUGAAAGACGGUUUUGCUGUCACUUAUAGAUGGAUCCGCGCCGCAUUAGCUAGUUGGUAAGGUAACGGCUUACCAAGGCGACGAUGCGUAGCCGACCUGAGAGGGUGAUCGGCCACACUGGAACUGAGACACGGUCCAGACUCCGACGGGAGGCAGCAGUAGGGAAUCUUCCGCAAUGGGCGAAAGCCUGACGGAGCAACGCCGCGUGAGUGAUGAAGGUCUUCGGAUCGUAAAACUCUGUUAUUAGGGAAGAACAAAUGUGUAAGUAACUAUGCACGUCUUGACGGUACCUAAUCAGAAAGCCACGGCUAACUACGUG
Molecule: ribosomal RNA, 497 nt
Filed under: uncultured bacterium
Lineage: Bacteria
Description: partial 16S ribosomal RNA
Rfam family: Bacterial small subunit ribosomal RNA
Source: RNAcentral